ACGAAGCGGUGGAGCGAUGUGGUUUAAUUCGAUGCAACGCGAAGAACCUUACCUGGGCUUGACAUCUGGGGAAUCCCCGUGGAAACAGGGAGUGCCGUUCGGGAGCCCAGACAGGUGCUGCAUGGCUGUCGUCAGCUCGUGUUGUGAGAUGUUGGGUUAAGUCCCGCAACGAGCGCAACCCCUAUGUUAGUUGCUAGCGAGUAAGGUCGAGCACUCUAGACAGACUGCCGGUGAUAAACCGGAGGAAGGUGGGGAUGACGUCAAAUCAUCAUGCCCCUUAUGUUCUGGGCUACACACGUGCUACAAUGGCCGGUACAAACGGAAGCGAAGCCGCGAGGUGAAGCAAAUCUGAUAAAACCGGUCUCAGUUCGGAUUGCAGGCUGCAACUCGCCUGCAUGAAGUCGGAAUCGCUAGUAAUCGCAGGUCAGCAUACUGCGGUGAAUACGUUCCCGGGCCUU
Molecule: ribosomal RNA, 458 nt
Filed under: uncultured Desulfosporosinus sp.
Lineage: Bacteria; Bacillati; Bacillota; Clostridia; Eubacteriales; Desulfitobacteriaceae
Description: bacterial SSU rRNA
Rfam family: Bacterial small subunit ribosomal RNA
Source: RNAcentral